Molecule: long non-coding RNA, 340 nt
Organism: Daphnia pulicaria
Lineage: Eukaryota; Metazoa; Arthropoda; Branchiopoda; Diplostraca; Daphniidae
Exons: 2
Source: RefSeq, a predicted model, not a curated record
AAAUUAAUCCUUCGCCUUUUUAUUGGAGAAUCCUCACAACCUGUCAUGUUUACAGGAUGUAAGAACAACAAAAAGUUAAACAAAGCCAAGUCCUCAAGAAGCUAUGCUGUUACACACAUGUGGUGAGUGGUGCUCGUCAGCUACUUAUACGACAAGUUUCAUGCUGGACCAACCAUGCCUCAUCUGACAUGCAUGCUGAUGUGCAUAUGCACCCCUCCCCUCCUGUUACUUAACAUCUCCCCUUUGAUUUGCUCAACUUUCCGUCUACAUAUUUAGGCACAAGUUGUAUUUAUUUGAAGGUACGGAAUGAAGUAUUUCUUAAUACAGUCUUGAUAUACCA